UUCCAAUAACAUACUCUUUAAUCACAAGUUAUCUGCAUUUAAUAAUGCAGAAAUUAUAAACCCAUAUUAUUUAAAUCUCUCCCCCACUGAAGCCAUGAACUAGUUUCAAAAGCAGCAACAAAAGGAUGACAAAUUGUUUACAUAUAUACUAUAGAAAUACACACUGAACUGGCAAUAACAUCUUUACAAAGGUGAACAAAGGGAGUACCUGCAAGUCGCACCACUUAUAGCCAUAUAUAUAUAUUCAUACACGUGUAUAUGUGUGUGUGUGUGUGUAGCUUGAAGUGGUCCAUAUGUACACACACAUAUACAUAUAUAUAUAUAGAGAGAGAGAGAGAGAGAACGCGAGCAGACUAGGUCCUUUCUUGAAAGACUCUCUCUGUACCUUUUCAUCACUAAAUUAAAUCUCUAGGCUAGGGUGUUCAUAAGUUCCACUGUAACUUAGGAUUUGCUUUUUCCUCUUAACAAAACUGAGGCAUUUUUUUUUUUUUUUUUUUUUUGAGACACAGUCUCACUCUGUCACCCAGGCUGGAGUGCAGUGGCAUGAUCUCGGCUCACUGCAACCUCUGCCUCCCAGGUUCAAGCGAUUUUCCUGCCUCAGCCUCCCAAGUAGCUAGGACUAAAUGCAUGUACCACUACGCCCGGCUAAUUUUUCAUUUUUGUAGAGAUGGGAUUUCACCAUGUUGGCUAGGCUGGUCUCAAACUCCUGACCUCAAGUGAUCCACCCGCCUCAGCCUCCCAAAAGUGCUGGUAUCACAGGCGUGAGCCACCUGAAUUUAUUACAAUCAUUACAUAAGCCUUCACCACAAAGUCAUGACCAUUAUUUUUUUGCUGAAAAAAAAUUAUUUGCUUAAUGUUACGUAAAUUUGACUUAUAUAGCAUUUUAGUACCACUUAAGUCACUGUAUAAAACAGCAGGUUGGAGACUGCUAUCCUUUUGAGUUUGCAAGGUUCACCCUUGCUGGAGUGUGGGACCUUAGAUUUUGGGAGGCUUACUACUGCUCCACCCACCCAAAACAGGAGUAGCUCACUGCCCUGUUUUUCGGUGCCUUUUUUUCCCCCCAGCUGAAAGGGGGAUAACGUUUUCAGCUGAAAAGCUGAACCCCUGCUAACCUUCUGGAAGUCCAGAAUUGUGGGAUGUGCUAGAAAACAUGCCCAAUAAAAACCCUGGCACUGAGUCUCUAAUAAGCUUCCCAGUGGACAUAUAGCAUGUGUUGUCAUAAGUACCAGAUGGAACUUAAAUAAGGCACAUCCUGUGACUUCACUGAAACAAGACUCAGAAGAUUGUGCCUGGUUUUCUCUGAAUUUUGGCUUUUUCCCUUUACUAUUUGCUUUGUAUUUUUUUGCUGCAGUAAAUCAUAGCUGUUGAGUAUGACAGAAUGCUGAGACCUGAGUCUUCUCAGCAAAUCGUCAAACCUGGGGGUGUUCUUGAGGAUCCCAAGACAGUCAUUCAUAACAAUUUCUAAAAUCAUGUACAUCUGUCCAAAAAAGCCCAGGUAGGCCAGGUGCGGUGGCUCACGCCUGUAAUCCCAGCACUUUGGGAGGCCGAGGCGGGUGGAUCAUGAAGUCAGGAGGUGGAGGCCAUCCUGGCCAACAUGGUGAAAUCCCACUACUACUAAAAAUACAAAAAUUAGCUGGGUGUGGUCGCAGGCACCUGUAGUCCCAGCUACUCAGGAGGCUGAGGCAGGAGAAUCGCUUGAACCCGGGAGGCAGAGGCUGCUGUGAGCCAAGAUCACGCCACUGCACACCAGCAUGGGUGACAGAGUGAGACUCCAUCUCAAAACAAACAAACAAAAAAAGCCCAGGUAGAUUAUCUUUGAGGUCAAGGUAUGUCAUACAUGGUACCACCUAUACGCACAGCUUCAUGGUAAACAUUCUGUGAGGGAACCAAAAAUUGCAAUAAAGGCUGGGUGUGGUGGCUCAUGCCUGUAAUGCCAGCACUUCGGGAGGCCGAGGCGGGUGGAUCACCUGAGGUCAGGAGCGUGAGCCACUGCACCCGGCCUAUGUUCAGGACUUCAACACCCCUCUCAGCAACUGACAGAAAUGCUGGACAGAAAAUCAGCAAGGACAUAGCUGACUUGAAUAACAAUGAGCAGGAUCAUAGAGACAUUUAUAGAAACUCCACCCAGUAACAGCAGAACACCCAUUCUUUUCAAGCAGCUAUACGAAACAAGAUAGACCCUAUCCUGGGUCAUAAAAAAAUGUUAACACAUUUAAACAGUCAGAUCAAACAUGGAACAAAUUAGAAAUCAGUAACAAAUAUGCCAAACACCAGAAAAUUAAGCAUACUAUUAAAUAAUUCAUGGCUAAGAGAGAAUGUCUCAAAAAAUAAAAACUAUUAGAAUUAAAAUGUAAUGAAAACAUUAAAACUUGUGGGAUCAAACCAAUAGUGAUAUGAGGU
RNAcentral lists this long non-coding RNA (2400 nucleotides) under Homo sapiens (human). RNAcentral describes it as "PREDICTED lncRNA (TCONS_00145676)". The record is from RNAcentral. Lineage: Eukaryota; Metazoa; Chordata; Mammalia; Primates; Hominidae.